RNAcentral lists this long non-coding RNA (284 nucleotides) under Malus domestica (apple). RNAcentral's name for it is "long non-coding RNA (MDOM_LNC008087)". The record is from RNAcentral. Lineage: Eukaryota; Viridiplantae; Streptophyta; Magnoliopsida; Rosales; Rosaceae.
CAAAUUUGCAGGGAAGACUCGUACAAAUUUAUUUUGAUGAGAUGUGACAUCUCGCAAUGCAUGAUACAUGUUGUCUAUACGUAACAUAAAUAUGUAUAUAUUUUCACAGAUUAUUCGUUCUUUAGCGGUUACAAAUCACAAAAGAAUACAUUUGCAUAGAUUAUUCGUUCUUCAGCAGUUACAAGUUCAUCAACUCUACAGACACAAAAGAAGAAAGGAACAAAAUAUGGCACAACUAGAACUAGGUUUUAUAUGUUCUGGUUGUAUUGGCAAGUCCCAUGGAU